Molecule: long non-coding RNA, 842 nt
Filed under: Heterocephalus glaber (naked mole-rat)
Lineage: Eukaryota; Metazoa; Chordata; Mammalia; Rodentia; Bathyergidae
Description: lncRNA (ENSHGLG00000048132.1)
Source: RNAcentral
AGGUGGUUGAGUAUCAGAGUGUUCCAUCUCAUUUCCCUUUGGGGUUGCUGUAGGUGAUCUGGAAGUCUGGUUCUGAGGAGGUGGGCCUGAGAUGGAGUGCAUGAAAAGGGAAUUUCUGGGAUGCUGAAGAUAUUCUGUUCAUUCAUCUGAGUGAGUUACACAGGUUUCAUUUUCUCAGAAGAGAAUUCCAUCCUUCUCCUUGGGAUGCCGCAAUUGGAGGGUGUGGACCCCGAAAUCCUGGAGGCCUUUGGUAGCUCUUGCACCUUAGGGUUCUGCACCGCGAGCGCGCGAAGCCCACACCUCCACCCUGCCUCCUGAAGCGGAGCGGCUGCUCUCUAUCCUGGCUCUGCAGACCUCCAUUCAAUAGGAAGCCUUGAGGCCAGCAGCUGCCCGCUAAGGCAGGUGACUACCAAGUGACAUUUGACGUUAUUCAUCCAUUUCUCUCUCUACACAGAGAUGGGGGAAGGGAGGCGGUGGAGCGGAGGGCGUGGAGAAGACUCAGGGCGGACGGGAAGCAGCAGUGCAGUGCGCCCCGGAAUCGCACCUCUCUGCAGCCCAGCGGCUGCCCAGGCUGCCCCCACCAGCCAGGCGCCUCGUCGCAAUUCCCCAGCUGUCUGCUCGCUACCUGCCUGGCUCGCCCGCUCAGAGCUGCUCCCCUGGGCCUCUCUCCAGCUCGGCAGUGGGCUGCGUCAGCAUCACGCCACACCGUCUCCGUUGGCCCGGCGAUCAACGCCUGACGGCCGGCCCUCUCUCCCCUCUCCGCUGGGGCCAAUGGGAGUCCGGGGAAGGUUUUGGUUACAAAUGAAAAUAAAAUAAAUAAGUCAUACUCCCGCACUCAGGAG